This 374-nucleotide ribosomal RNA is filed under the name uncultured bacterium. RNAcentral's name for it is "bacterial SSU rRNA". It matches the Rfam family "Bacterial small subunit ribosomal RNA", at positions 524 to 896 of the family's 1533-position model. The record is from RNAcentral.
UACGGAGGGUGCAAGCGUUGUUCGGAAUCACUGGGCUUAAAGCGCGUGUAGGCGGAGUGCUUAGUGCUUUGUGAAAUCCCCCGGCUCAACCGGGGAAUUGCUUGGCAAACGGGCAUUCUUGAGGCAGGUAGAGGUCACUGGAACGACUGGUGGAGCGGUGAAAUGCGUAGAUAUCAGUUGGAACGCCGGAGGCGAAAGCGGGUGACUGGGCCUGUCCUGACGCUGAGACGCGAAAGCGUGGGUAGCAAACAGGAUUAGAUACCCUGGUAGUCCACGCCGUAAACGAUGCGCACUAGGUAUGAGAGGCUCUGACGCCGAUCGUGCCGAAAGAAAACCAGUAAGUGCGCCGCCUGGGGAGUACGGCCGCAAGGCUA